RNAcentral lists this ribosomal RNA (467 nucleotides) under uncultured bacterium. RNAcentral's name for it is "partial 16S ribosomal RNA". It matches the Rfam family "Bacterial small subunit ribosomal RNA", at positions 28 to 507 of the family's 1533-position model. The record is from RNAcentral.
GACGAACGCUGGCGGCGUGCUUAACACAUGCAAGUCGAACGGAAAGGCCUCUUUCGGGGGGUACUCGAGUGGCGAACGGGUGAGUAACACGUGAGUAACCUGCCCUUGACUUUGGGAUAACUUCAGGAAACUGGGGCUAUUACCGGAUAGGAGCUCCUGCUGCAUGGUGGGGGUUGGAAAGUUUCGGCGGUUGGGGAUGGACUCGCGGCUUAUCAGCUUGUUGGUGGGGUAGUGGCUUACCAAGGCUUUGACGGGUAGCGGGCCUGAGAGGGUGACCGGCCACAUUGGGACUGAGAUACGGCCCAGACUCCUACGGGAGGCAGCAGUGGGGAAUAUUGCACAAUGGGUGGAAGCCUGAUGCAGCAACGCCGUGUGCGGGAUGACGGCCUUCGGGUUGUAAACCGCUUUCGCUCAUGACGAAGCGUUGUGUGACGGUAGUGGGUAAAGAAGCACCGGCUAACUACGUG